RNAcentral lists this ribosomal RNA (454 nucleotides) under uncultured bacterium. RNAcentral describes it as "bacterial SSU rRNA". It matches the Rfam family "Bacterial small subunit ribosomal RNA", at positions 28 to 507 of the family's 1533-position model. The record is from RNAcentral.
GGUGAACGCUGGCGGCGUGCCUAACACAUGCAAGUCGAUCGGAGCAGCAAUGCUUAGAGGCGAACGGGUGAGGAAAACGUAGUAACCAACCCUUUAGACUGGGAUAGCCACUGGAAACGGUGGGUAAUACCGGAUAAGCUCGAGAGAGGAAAGGCAGAGAAGCGCUAAGGACGGAACUGCGCCCAUCAGAUAGUUGGUGAGGUAAAGGCUUACCAAGUCAAAGACGGGAAACCGACGUGAGAGCGUGUACGGUCACAAGGGCACUGAGAGACGGGCCCUACUCCUACGGGAGGCAGCAGGUGGGGAAUAUUGGACAAUGGACGAAAGUCUGAUCCAGCGACGCCGCGUGGAGGAAGAAGUCCUUCGGGAUGUAAACUCAUGAAGCUAACGAAUAAGACGGAAGGGGAACCUUCCGGGAGAAGGUAAUUAGUGAAAAGCCCCGGCUAACUACGUG